RNAcentral lists this long non-coding RNA (409 nucleotides) under Citrus x clementina. Its description in RNAcentral is "Citrus clementina (C. clementina) long non-coding RNA (CCLE_LNC005625)". Lineage: Eukaryota; Viridiplantae; Streptophyta; Magnoliopsida; Sapindales; Rutaceae. The record is from RNAcentral.
UUUUUUUAAAAAAACUAAAAUUUAAUUCAAAUGGACAACAUGCAUAGGCUAACCACAAAUGACUAUGUUGUUAGAACACAUGGUGCGUGAUAAGAGGAGAUUGAUGAUGAAAUCCGAACCAAAUACAAAUUGUGAUCUCAAAAUAAUUUGUUAGUCAUAUCAUGUGCACAUGUCCCGACUAAUUAAAUGUUUAUUUGGGUAAGAUGUUAUGUGGGCAUCUAAGUGUCUCGCUUUAUCAGCAACCAAUCCACAUUUAUUUUGUCUUAUUGAUUGACCAAACUCACCUCUCUCCAAAUUAACCCAAAUUCACGGGACUUUCUAUUUUGCAUUUUAAACUCAUCAAAAGUUUGAUGGAAUUAUCAUAUCAAUGCAUAUGCUUUGCUAAUUCUUAAAUAAUAUAUAUGUAGAU